UGUCGGCGGUGGCCGGCUUCGGUGGCGGGGCGCUGCUGCUGCCGGUGUUCACCGCGCUGUUCGGCCUGCGCGCCGCCGU
This 79-nucleotide transfer RNA is filed under the name Virgisporangium aurantiacum. RNAcentral's name for it is "tRNA-Ser". Lineage: Bacteria; Bacillati; Actinomycetota; Actinomycetes; Micromonosporales; Micromonosporaceae. The record is from RNAcentral.